UUGCCUGCGUUUUUUUCUCUUUUUUUUUUAAUUUUUUAACAAUGUUUUUUGCUUUUUUACAAUAAUAAUUAUUUGUAUACAUAUCAAUAAUUAGUUUUAUACAUAUCAAUAAUUACUUUUUUUUUACAAUAAUAAUGAUUUGAUCAAAUAACUAAAAGUAUAAAUUCUCGUGAAUAAAAGUAACAAUUAUCGUGAACAAAUGUAAUAAUAUAUAAACA
This 218-nucleotide long non-coding RNA is filed under the name Salvia miltiorrhiza (redroot sage). RNAcentral's name for it is "long non-coding RNA (SMIL_LNC009855)". The record is from RNAcentral. Lineage: Eukaryota; Viridiplantae; Streptophyta; Magnoliopsida; Lamiales; Lamiaceae.